AUAUAAUUAUACUUUAUUUUACAAAGAUAUAAUUUUACUUAUAUAACUAAUUAACUAGUAAUAUUCACUCCUUCUAACCUCUCUUGAUAACUUAAUAAACAAUAUAGCAGCCGUCGCUGCUCCCAUUUUCAGCAACCUUUUGUUCCAUUUUUCAUUGUUUUAAUAGUUUGGUGAAGAGAAGAAUGAUGCCAAACCAAUGGGUGUUGUAGAAUAGAACUUGGAAGGCUUUAUAGUCGGAGUUGCACAAAGUGCUAGUCACAUGCCGGUGAAGUUGUUGUUGUUGUGCAAACUCAGGACAAUACUCUUAAUUGAUCAAUUUCAUGAUCAUCCAUCAUGCACUUUCUUACUACUUUCAUAAAAUCAAAUGUCAUCAAUCAAAGUUAAUCUAUGUCAAUUUUGAAUUGUGAUCUAUCUUGCAACUUUAUAAUAUAGAUAUUUCACACGUCCAAAGUCAUGUGUUGUAUAUUUACAUCAUCAUUCACCUAUGUUUUUGUGAUGAUAAGUUUUUUAAUAAAAAUACUGAUGAAUAUGUUAAUUUGUAUUUUAUUAUGAAAUAUCAUCCUCCUCGUUAAUGUUUUCUUUC
Cicer arietinum (chickpea) is the source of this 583-nucleotide non-coding RNA. Lineage: Eukaryota; Viridiplantae; Streptophyta; Magnoliopsida; Fabales; Fabaceae. The record is from RefSeq and is a predicted model, not a curated record.